Doryrhamphus excisus (bluestripe pipefish) is the source of this 6697-nucleotide non-coding RNA. Lineage: Eukaryota; Metazoa; Chordata; Actinopteri; Syngnathiformes; Syngnathidae. The record is from RefSeq and is a predicted model, not a curated record.
UCAGCUGACACUUAGUAGCUCUCAGCUGUUUUUUUUGUUGUUGUCGAAUGCACAUAUCUCUUUUGCUCCAAAGCGUCCUCUUGUUACAUAGUUGCUAUUGGGAAACUGUCAUGGUAUGUUCGAGUAUGAAGAAUAAACACAACCAGGUCGAAGUUACAGACGCGUCGUCUUUCGAGGUGACUCUCCAGCAACUCAACGACUUGUUGACGGACGACAGCGGCUUUUACAGCUGGCCAACAAAAAACUUUCACGAGGUUUAUCCACGCAUCUAUGUCGGCAAUGCGUUUUUGGCGAACAAUGUGACACGUCUGAAGCGUUUGAAAAUCACACACAUCUUGAACGCAGCAGAGGGAAACUCCUUCAUGCAUGUGAAUACCAACGCUGAAUUCUACAAAGGCACAGACGUCAUUUACCAUGGUAUGCCAGCCAGCGACACUGAUCACUUUGACAUCAGCAUUUACUUUGAGGAAGCUGCAGAAUUCAUCGCGAACGCUCUGGCAUACAAAAACGGAAAAGGUAGAGUAUACGUGCAUUGCAAGGAAGGCUACAGCCGCUCACCCACCUUAGUCAUCGCCUACCUGAUGCUUCGCCAGAACAUGGAUGUCCACAGUGCUCUGGCCACGGUGCGACACAACAGAGAGAUCGGACCUAAUGACAGCUUCCUUCGACAGCUCUGCCGACUAAAUCAUAGGCUGGCUGCUGAGGGAACGUUCUGGAACAAAUGAAGCAGAGGAAACAAGGUGCCAUUUAAUUGUGCUACGGUGGAAUUUGCUCAUGUUGAUGUUCCUUGGCUGACUGAUGUGGAUACACCUUGGUGGUAUUUCCGUUAUCACUUUGUCCCGUCCUGUUUCCACCUUCCAUGCUGGGCUAGCCGACAAACUUGCUGAAGUUCAACGCCUUUCCAACAUUACUCGGUCGUGUGGAAGAGUCAGAAGAUCAAGCGGUGCACCAUUAAAAUGGAACAAAUGCAUUUAUGUGGCCCUCUCUUCGUGAUCCUGAUUGCAGUGCACUAAAGAAAAGGAAAGCUGUCAGCAUGGAAGUGAAAAUGAACAUCUCAGAAGGAGGAGACACGUCCGCCAAUAUUGGCCACCCAGCUGUUCGACCAUCAUUAAAGGUAAAGAAUAUUGAAUGCUAAUGAAUGCUAGAAGGGUCAUGGAGUCUGAGGCGCUUUUACAAGGGGAUCUGGGUAGGGAAUCUGAGGUUAUUCUUCCAGACUAGCCUGGGACCGUAUUUUAAGAAGGUGGAAAGGCCUGCAAGACAACUACAACGGUAAAAGUAAAAGUAAGGAGUUUUUAUUUUGAUUUCAUUUAAUUGCCGUAUGUUAUGUUUUUAAUGUGUUCUGUGCACAAUGUGAAUGAUUUAUGUUCUAUUUAGGCAUAUAUAUUUUUUAUUUUACUAUUUUACUUAAUAGACAUUAAUUUAAUAUUAAUUCUUACUAUUUAACUGUAAUUUUGUCAACUUUUUUUUCACUACAUACAGAUAAAAAUCCAAAUUUUGAAAAAAAUCUGAUUUGUUUUGAUCCCCGAUUAUACUUCCUAUGGAAAAUAACCCCUCCCUUUGCAAGCCUUUAUGUGCACCCUUUUGGGGGACUUUCGUUAUUCAGAAGGUCUUCGUUCUAUGUACGACUUUCCUUCCUAAGACUAUGAUACAAGUUUUAGUCUUAAGUCGGAAUUUAAACCUACAUAAUAUCUAAAUUAAUAACAAAGUCCAUCACACUGUACGUAGCACACACAAAAGUACAAAUAAUAAUGAAAUGAAACAAUAACGAGACAGACCCGUUGUCCUUGUUGAAAUGUCAGUAAUGAGGCGACUAUGCUGAUUACUUAUCACCGUCCAUUUCAAAGGAGCAGAUCCUUUAACAUGUUCAAGGAUACCAUCUUUGUCCUUAAUGAAUUUUCACUUUCCUUUUUUUAUGCACUGCAUCCAAAAAGUAUGACUUCAUUCAAUUACGGCAGGGCAUGGUAAAACGAGGACCGCCUGUAUUAGGUCACCUAAAUCGUGGCUUCAAAUAUCUGCUUCGGAAGAACAAAGUUUAAGAAAGAAAUGAAAGUUAUUAAGAAAAAAUAUCCAUUAUCCAUACAUUAAAAGGGACACUUGAUUAUUUGUCAAAUGUUGGUUCUCCAGCAUGAAAUUAGGCUGGUUCCUUUAAUGAAAUUCAACUGAACACUGAAUUAGAUGACUGCAUUUCCUCCGAUGAUGCAUCUAAUAAAGCAUAAACACAAAUAGACCCACCAUCUCUUCCAAGAAAACCAUAUGCACACUGAAGACAAAGAAAAGAAAAAUAUGUUACAAUACAUUGCUCAAGGUGUUUUUUGUUUUUUUAUACAUAUUAAAAAUAUCUCAGUGGCAGUGUGCCACUCAAUCCUGGCUUUAGCUUACUUAUGCAAACUCACCCUGCCAAGCAUAUUUAGUAGAACCACACGAGCAACAUCCAUUUCAGCAACAACAUGAGUGUGGUACAAUUACAAUUAUAUUACAUUCCACAAGUGGACAUACUCCUGUAGAGGAUUGUCAUCUUUCUCCACCAAACAGUGCUUGUAUGAGUUGGGGCAGAUGUCUUUGAGGGUGUUGGAGUGGCGGCAGGGGACGACAUAAAUAGAAAAGACAGGGGAGAGGUUUGACGUUGCAAGAGAUCAGAACAGAUGUGGAGAGGACAGAGAGGACGCCGAUUAACAGAUGUUUUCCCUGGGUAAGUAUCAUUCGUUUUUAAGCAGGCGCAUGAAUGUAAAGUGUUCUUUUUUUUUUUUAUAGCCUAGCGACAAGUUCACAGUUUCAUUUAUUGUAAACAUGAGGUAAAACGUGACGAGUAUUUAAAGUGUCAGACAGACAGACAGAAGGGAAAGUUCAGCACUAACAGGGGACGGAAAAACAUUUCAUUUGCAUUAAGUUAAGUGAUGCAGAGGAUGGAAUUUCCCUAAGAACAGGCUAAAUUAUCUUGGUACUACAACUAAGACCAUGCUCAAACACAUGCAACAGGUUCAUUCUGUUUAUACCAGAAGGGGUCAGCGUCCAAAUGAACAAGUUCCUGAAAUGUAGACCAUGUGAUGAUUUUUUUUGUACAGCCUUUUUAGCGUAGGUUCUGAAUGUCCCAAACCUUCUAUCAGGCUAAUGCUGCCUUCCAGAGUACUUGGAAGCUGGAAAAACCUUCACCAAGUCAUACUUUUUGGUUGUAUGAGUUUUCAACCAUUAAACAAAACCGAAGUACCAGAGUACUACGUGUUUAUUUGAAGAAUUCAUAUAUGAGAUAUUUCCAAGUUCCAAGUUAUCUAGAAAGCAACAUAAUCACCCCCAACAUAGUAUAUGGUUGUAGCCAGUAUUUGAACAUGGCGUUGCAGUAGCUGGCACAGUAAAUGGAUUCUUACUGUUAGUCUGUCUCUGUCUCUGCUAUGCUGGUGCACGUGAUCAUGGCUGAAGGCAGUGCGUUUUUUCUGGUGCUGGUGAUCGUUUUCGGGAAAGAUAACCACUGAGAAUGGCUGCCAGCUCAAAUUGUGAUGUCAAACCUCAUUUGUGUGUAGUCCUUAAACUGGAACACAAUAUGUGCUCUCCGCGCUCAGGGACGAGAGAUCCUGAGUUUAGAAAAACGGGGCAAUGUGAAGGUCAUUUUGGUGAUUUGGUGUUUUUGGACUCCCAUCGCCGUGAGUGUGAGCUUACUAAUACAGGUGUGCUACAUGACUGCUUGAACUUGAUGUUAUUUUGAGUAGGUCAGCCGCUGACAGCAUAAAUAAAGUGUGUAUUUGGUGUGUGUGUGUGUGUGUGUUUGCCCUGCUUUCAUUCACAGUGAAGGUGAGAUCACAGAAGGCCUGAAUGCCAACUGUGAACCUGCACUGCUUGAUCAUCCUAUUGCUGUGCAUGUGUGUGUGUGUGUGUGUGUGUGUGCGCCUGUUUAAUCAGUACUUACAGUUCUAUUUAAAUACCCUGCAAUGUCGACAAGUAACAAAGAGCAGUGGCACUUAAAGGCUGUAUCACUGUCAGGGGCUGCUUUUCCAAAGACAGAAUUUACAUUUACAUUUCAGAAUGACUCUGUUAGAUUUUUUUCUUGCCAUGAAAAAAACGUGGAAGAAGUCCCGACUGUGAUGAAUUUUCAUCUUGGCAAAGUAUGAGCAAUUGGUGGCACAGAUUUAGAGGAUGCCACGACUUGCUACCAUGGCAACAAAGCUCUCUCAGCUCUCGAGACAGCGUCUUUGUGAAACCAGCCCCCUGUUAAGUUUCCUCACUUCGAUGCAUGCGUGUGUGUGUGUGUGUGUGCAGUAGCGUGAAGGUAUAUUUCACAAUAUGGUCAUGAUUAGUGUUGCAAAGAGGUGGAAACAUCCUGUAGGAUAAGGAUGUUUCACCAAUAUUCAUUAGGAUACUUUACACUGGAAUUGAUGAUAAUUAAUGGGAAUUAAAUGGAUUUGUUUUAUACGUUACAACUCAGUUAUAGUCUCAGGAAGGGUGUAGUUAUUUUUUCACAUUUUUUAAAUAGAAUUUUUGAUAUUUUACAUCAAAUUUGCUGUUAAAAAAUAGUAACCUGAAACGGUGUACAAGGCGUAUGAUUAAAUUAACUUUCUUCCUCCUCCUUUUCAGACAUGUUGAAUUCUGCAAAUGUAAACAUGAUGUACAGUGGAUACCCGCAAAUUUGUGAUUCAGCAUUCACGGCCCUGCUAAAUUUUUCUAAAAAAAAAAAAGCAGUUUUCUCAGGUAAUAUGCCAAUUUUUCUGCAUUCAACCUAAAUCAUUAAUGAUUUAGAGAUACCGGAUAUUGCAAAUAAAAUGCACAGCUUAAUUAUACUCUUUAUGUCUUCACUGUAUUCACUUGAUAUGAGAUUUCACACUUUGUUUGGGAGUCAUUGGACGCAUCAUAGUUGCAGUGAGUUGCAGAAGUAAAACCUCUAAAGGAAAGAGGGGCAAGCUGUGCGUCAAAAAUAAACAUUUUUGUGGGCGUCUCAAUUAGUCAUGGAUUUCGCCAUUGGCUAAUAGUUCCGCACAGGGCUCUACUGUACAUCAAUGUAACUAUGAGAAACUAAACCAUUCGUCCUAAGAUCCAAUUAAAUCAAUCUGGAUUCAGCAAGUUGCCAUUCUGGAUGACAUAUGCAUCGAUACUAGGAAAUAAAGCAUUGGAAUUAAGCACAAUUUUUUUAGCAGUUUUAAUGAUAAAAAUGUUAAAUAUUACUCAUGUAACUGUUUGAUUUGGCGUAAGUUGAUUAGUUUUGCCUGUUGAGUGGGGCACACCUGAAGUGUUGGUUGCAUUUGAUUUAAAUAAAAUGUGAAUGCACUUGUUUAUAACUGAUUCCCUUAGAAAAAAAAACCUAUGGGAAUCUAGGAAUCCCCGGUAUCCAGGUAUUUAUUUCAGAGACCGGUUGAAUUUUUGGCUAAAAAUGUAUUAAAUCAUUUUGGCCCGUAUUGUUUUAAAUGAACCUAUAUAGUUGUUGAACCUAUCACCAACCACAAAUGAAAUCGUUAUUAAAACAAAUCAUUACACCCUUAUUUAUUUACAUCCUAUGAAAUGACUAUUCCCAUUAAUUCUCACACAGUUCCCAGUACUGGACUGGAUUUGGAUUUGUGCAACCCUAAUCAAGACAGCUUGAAGCAAAGAAGAAUAAGAAAGAAGUGAGUGUACAGAAGAAAAGAAAGUGUUUGGGGUUAUUACAUCCAUUGUAGUUUUAGUGCAACAUAAAAAACCUGAUAGUUAUUUGUUGAUGAUGAUGGGUGGAGCUUAUUUCAGAGGUGUUGAAUUGAAAAUGUACAUUUUAGGGACAUGACAGUCGUAUUUUUUUCCCCAACGGCGCAUGGCUUUACGUCCGUUUCUGCUGCCGACAGCAGGGGAGAAAGGGAAGAAAACAGGGUCCAGUUCAGAGUCACAUGACGCCAAGUGCUGUUUCCUUCCUCUUGGCUCGGAUGAAUCCAGAGGCAAAGACUGCUGACUCGCCGUUUAUUGAAUCCCCACCGCCAUAGUUUGGCUCCUGUUGGCUCCAUCCAAUCAGGCCACAAUGGCUCCUAUACUGGAGUCCCAUUUUUUGCUGUCGUAAUGAGGUUCAAUCGGCACCAUGUAAGGUCAAAAGGGGCCCAAUUCAGACCUGCCAUCAAUGUGUCUGGUGUAACCACCGAUUCAAAUGAUGUUCAUUUGCCUAAACAAAACAAACGCCGUGGGUUCACUCUAAUGAAGCAUUUGCAAACCUCGAGUCGAGGGUGUCUGGACCCGGGAGCCUUUUGUCUAUGGCAAAGAUUGAUGACAUCAAGUCUGCAUCAGAACUUUAUGAAGGAUGGUUAAGGCCACGCUGACAUGAAAAGCAAAUAUUUGCUAUGUCGCAAGCAACUAAUUUUUUUUAAUUCAUAUAAUUUUGUCAAUUUUGUAAAAGAAAAGAAAUCCAAUCCCCCCUCAAAAACCCUUCUCCUGAAAAAAAAAAAAUUACCCAAUUUAGAUUGGAUUGCAUAUUUAGCAAACACAAAUAUGGAUUUUUAUAGUCAAACAUAGCUUCAAUAAAAUUGCAAAAUAAGCAACUAAAUAUUUUUUAAUUCAUAUAAUUUUGUCAAUAUAGUAAAAGAAAAGACAUCCACCCCCCCCCAAAAAAAACCUUCUCCUAAAAAAUAAAAAUAAUCCAAUUUAGAAUGGCUUGCUUAUUUAGCAAACACAAAUAUGGAUUUUUAUAGUCAAACAUAGCUUCAAUGAAAUAGCAAAAUAAGCAACUAUUUUAAGAAAAUUAAGAAAAGAAAUUCAAUUU